Molecule: long non-coding RNA, 346 nt
Organism: Podarcis raffonei (Aeolian wall lizard)
Lineage: Eukaryota; Metazoa; Chordata; Lepidosauria; Squamata; Lacertidae
Exons: 2
Source: RefSeq, a predicted model, not a curated record
ACACUGUUACCGGAAAAAUCUGAGGGCUCCCUUGGACAAAAAGUAAAGACACCAACCAGAGUAAAUUGAAGCAAAUCAGCAGCCUGUAGGCUUGGUCUUUAUUGAAGAAAGACUGUCGCGACAGGGUGCUCCCCUCACUUGCAGUCCAUGCUGAAUCCACUCCCAUAUGCAAGUUCUUUGUGAUCUUGAUUGUCUUCUGUCUGGGAUCAUCAGGGUUGGCAUAGCAACUGGGCAGGGCUCCUGUGGAUGUGCUGAGACGGUGAAGGGAUUAUGGCUGACCAGGACCAAGCCACCCCCCUUUGAUAGUUCUUGUCAUAUGGAGUAAAAUAAAAUGGAACAGUGCAAA